Molecule: ribosomal RNA, 300 nt
Filed under: uncultured Eubacterium sp.
Lineage: Bacteria; Bacillati; Bacillota; Clostridia; Eubacteriales; Eubacteriaceae
Description: bacterial SSU rRNA
Rfam family: Bacterial small subunit ribosomal RNA
Source: RNAcentral
GUCAGUGGUGAAAAGAUACAGCUUAACUGUGGUUGAGCCAUUGAUACUAGUUCUCUAGAGUACAAAUGGAGUGGGCGGAAUUGUCAUGUAGCGGUGAAAUGCAUAGAUAUGACAUAGAACACCGAUCGCGAAGGCAGCUCACUAAGAUGUUACUGACGCUGAUGCACGAAAGCGUGGGGAUCAAACAGGAUUAGAUACCCUGGUAGUCCACGCUGUAAACGAUGAUAACUCGUUGUCGGCGAUAUACAGUCGGUGACCAAGCGAAAGCGAUAAGUUAUCCACCUGGGGAGUACGAUCGCA